CACCUAGGGGAUGGCUCGGCUCGGGUCACCGACGAAGGGCGUGACAAGCUGCGAUAAGCCCGGGCGAGGUGCAUGUAGCCUUUGAACCCGGGAUGCCCGAAUGCGACUCGCGUAGGGGGUAAACCCCCUACACUCGCGGGCUUUGCUCGCGAGGGGGAACGCGGGGAAUUGAAACAUCUUAGUACCCGCAGGAAAAGAAAGCAAAAGCGAUGCCCUGAGUACCGGCGAGGGAAAGGGGCGGAGGGCAAACUGAAUCUUCCGACGAAAGUCGGAAGAGAUGUGGGGUUUGCUCUUCACCAUACACAAGCCUCGCUGGAGAAGCCGAAGUGAGCUGGAAUGCUCCGCCAUAGAGGGUGAAAGCCCCGUAGGCGUAAUCCAGCAGGCUUGUGGUGAAGAGCAGAGUAGCGCGGGUUGGAUAUCCCGCGUGAAGGCGGGAGGCAUCGACUCCCAACCCUAAAUACGUCCCGAGACCGAUAGCGAACUAGUACCGUGAGGGAAAGCUGAAAAGUACCCCUGGCAGGGGGUGAAAAGAGCCUGAAACUAGGCGGCGAUAGCCUGUCAUGGCACGGAAGGAAUGAGGCUCCCCGAAGGAAAGCCUCGCGAGGGGCGAGUACGAGGGGAGUAGACCAGUGUCAUGACGUCCGUUUUGAAAAACGGGCCGGGGAGUUCACGGUCAUGGCGAGGUUAAGGGGGUUCAGCCCCGAAGCCGUAGCGAAAGCGACUGCCCGCAGCUCAUUUUGAGCGAGGGGCGGGGUAUGAAAGUGCCCGGAGUCAUGGCCGUGAGACCCGAGGCCGGUCGAUCUAGCCCAAGGCAGGGUGAAGUUGCGCGAAAGCGCAAUGGAGGCCCGAACCGGUGCUGAUAUGCAGAUCGCUCGGUUGACCCUGGGCUAGGGGCGAAAGACCAAUCAAGACCGGCGCCAGCUGGUUCCUCCCGAAAUGUGUCGCAGCACAGCCCAGCCGGAGGUAGACGGCGGUGUAGAGCACUGAUUGGGUGUUUAGGGGACGAAAGUCCUCGGCACCCUGUCAAACUCCGAAGCCGUCGUCGCCGUAGAUGGCUGGAGUGAGGGCUGGGGGGUAAGCUCCCAGUCCGAGAGGGGAAUAACCCUGACCGGGGUUAAGGUCCCAAAGUGCAGGCUAAGUGCUAAAUAAGAAGGGCGUCCCUGACCUAAGACAGCGGGGAGGUAGGCUUAGAAGCAGCCAUCCUUUAAAGAGUGCGUAACAGCUCACCCGCCGAGGUCAGGGGCCCCGAAAAUCGACGGGGCUAAGCCUGCCACCGAUACCCCGGAGGGGCGCAAGCCCAUCUGGUAGGGAGGCGUCUCGUCUGGGUAGAAGCUGGGGCGUAAGCUCCAGUGGACCGGGCGAGAGUGAGGAUCCCGGCAGUAGUAGCAGCAAAGUGGGGUGAGAAUCCCCACCGCCGGAGGGGCGAGGUUUCCUCGGCAAUGUUCGUCAGCCGAGGGUUAGCCGGUCCUAAGGGUGUGCGUAACUCGACACACCCGAAAGGGAAACGGGUUAAUAUUCCCGUGCCACCCGGAUACGUGCGGCGACGCAAGGCCCGCCUCUGACGCCUCGGGGUAGGCCAAGUGGAGCUGUCGCUCCAUCUAAGCGUAUAAGCCUGGGGAGGACCGUAAUGGUGAGAACCAGGCGAAAGCGCGAAUGGGCUUCCGUUAAGGAGGCUUUGGCUGAUCCCUGGGGCCCGUGAAAAGGGGGCGGGCAAGGAUUCCGGGUGACCGUACCUAGAACCGACACAGGUGCCCCUGGGUGAGAAGCCCAAGGCGUGUCGGAGAAAGCCGGCCUAGGGAAUUCGGCAAAUUGGCCCCGUAUCUUCGGUAGAAGGGGUGCCCACUGUCCCUGCUUAUGCAGGGAUCGGUGGGUCUCAGUAACGAGGGGGGCCCGACUGUUUAACAAAAACGUAGCUGGCCGCGAGCCUGUAAAGGUGUGUAUGGCCAGCGACUCUUGC
This 1957-nucleotide ribosomal RNA is filed under the name Candidatus Latescibacterota bacterium. RNAcentral's name for it is "bacterial LSU rRNA". It matches the Rfam family "Archaeal large subunit ribosomal RNA", at positions 19 to 1954 of the family's 2987-position model. The record is from RNAcentral. Lineage: Bacteria; Pseudomonadati; Candidatus Latescibacterota.